This 253-nucleotide ribosomal RNA is filed under the name uncultured bacterium. Its description in RNAcentral is "partial 16S ribosomal RNA". It matches the Rfam family "Bacterial small subunit ribosomal RNA", at positions 524 to 776 of the family's 1533-position model. The record is from RNAcentral.
UACGUAGGGUGCAAGCGUUAAUCGGAAUUACUGGGCGUAAAGCGUGCGCAGGCGGUUUUGCAAGACAGAUGUGAAAUCCCCGGGCUUAACCUGGGAACUGCAUUUGUGACUGCAAGGCUAGAGUGUGUCAGAGGGAGGUGGAAUUCCGCGUGUAGCAGUGAAAUGCGUAGAGAUGCGGAGGAACACCGAUGGCGAAGGCGGUUCUCUGGGCAUUACCUGACGCUGAGGAGCGAAAGUGUGGGGAGCGAACAGG